GACGAACGCUGGCGGCGUGCUUAACACAUGCAAGUCGAACGGAAAGGCCCUGCUUUUGUGGGGUGCUCGAGUGGCGAACGGGUGAGUAACACGUGAGUAACCUGCCCUUGACUUUGGGAUAACUUCAGGAAACUGGGGCUAAUACCGGAUAGGAGCUCCUGCUGCAUGGUGGGGGUUGGAAAGUUUCGGCGGUUGGGGAUGGACUCGCGGCUUAUCAGCUUGUUGGUGGGGUAGUGGCUUACCAAGGCUUUGACGGGUAGCCGGCCUGAGAGGGUGACCGGCCACAUUGGGACUGAGAUACGGCCCAGACUCCUACGGGAGGCAGCAGUGGGGAAUAUUGCAACAUGGGCGGAAGCCUGAUGCAGCAACGCCGCGUGCGGGAUGACGGCCUUCGGGCUGUAAACCGCUUUCGCCUGUGACGAAGCGUGAGUGACGGUAAUGGGUAAAGAAGCACCGGCUAACUACGUG
This 468-nucleotide ribosomal RNA is filed under the name uncultured bacterium. RNAcentral describes it as "partial 16S ribosomal RNA". It matches the Rfam family "Bacterial small subunit ribosomal RNA", at positions 28 to 507 of the family's 1533-position model. The record is from RNAcentral.